This 506-nucleotide ribosomal RNA is filed under the name uncultured bacterium. Its description in RNAcentral is "bacterial SSU rRNA". It matches the Rfam family "Bacterial small subunit ribosomal RNA", at positions 1 to 504 of the family's 1533-position model. The record is from RNAcentral.
GUCGACUAGAGUUUGAUCCUGGCUCAGAUUGAACGCUAGCGGCAUGCUUUACACAUGCAAGUCGAACGGCAACGCGGGGUAACCUGGCGGCGAGUGGCGAACGGGUGAGUAAUACAUCGGAACGUGCCCUGUGAUGGGGGAUAACUACGCGAAAGCGUAGCUAAUACCGCAUACGACCUACGGGUGAAAGUGGGGGAUCGCAAGACCUCACGUCAUAGGAGCGGCCGAUGGCGGAUUAGCUAGUUGGUGAGGUAAAGGCUUACCAAGGCAACGAUCCGUAGCUGGUCUGAGAGGACGACCAGCCACACUGGGACUGAGACACGGCCCAGACUCCUACGGGAGGCAGCAGUGGGGAAUUUUGGACAAUGGACGCAAGUCUGAUCCAGCCAUGCCGCGUGCGGGAAGAAGGCCUUCGGGUUGUAAACCGCUUUUGUCAGGGAAGAAAUCUUCUGGGUUAAUACCUCGGGAGGAUGACGGUACCUGAAGAAUAAGCACCGGCUAACUAC